This is a non-coding RNA of Schistosoma curassoni, 78 nucleotides long. NCBI's taxonomy places the organism in Eukaryota, Metazoa, Platyhelminthes, Trematoda, Strigeidida, Schistosomatidae. The record is from Rfam.
AGCUUUCCGAAUCCGUGCAGAGAUUUCGUCAGACACCAACCUAUUAAAACUGAUCAAACUUCUAAGAUAAGUGAAGUU